CACGUAGGGGGCGAGCGUUGUCCGGAUUUAUUGGGCGUAAAGAGCUCGUAGGCGGUUUGGCAAGUCGGGUGUGAAACUUCGAGGCUCAACCUCGAAACGCCACUCGAUACUGCCAUGACUGGAGUCCGGUAGAGGAGUGCGGAAUUCCUGGUGUAGCGGUGAAAUGCGCAGAUAUCAGGAGGAACACCAACGGCGAAGGCAGCACUCUGGGCCGGUACUGACGCUGAGGAGCGAAAGCGUGGGGAGCAAACAGG
This 254-nucleotide ribosomal RNA is filed under the name uncultured bacterium. RNAcentral's name for it is "partial 16S ribosomal RNA". It matches the Rfam family "Bacterial small subunit ribosomal RNA", at positions 524 to 776 of the family's 1533-position model. The record is from RNAcentral.